AACGCUGUUAAAUGAUUCCGUUAC
Molecule: non-coding RNA, 24 nt
Filed under: Arabidopsis thaliana (thale cress)
Lineage: Eukaryota; Viridiplantae; Streptophyta; Magnoliopsida; Brassicales; Brassicaceae
Source: RNAcentral